Molecule: transfer RNA, 74 nt
Filed under: Bacteroidota bacterium
Lineage: Bacteria; Pseudomonadati; Bacteroidota
Also listed under: 1 other name
Description: tRNA-Lys
Source: RNAcentral
GGACCAGUAACUCAGUUAGUCAGAGUACCAUCCUUUUAAGAUGGGAGUCGUGGGGGCGGGACCCACCUGGUCCA